AGAUAAAAUUUUAUAUUUUGGAGAAUUUAUUUUUAAUUUAUUUUACAUAUAAAUUUUAGUGAAUAAUUUUAAUUAUUUAAAAAAUAAUUAAUAAUAUUUUGUAGUAAUUAAUAUUAAAAAUUUAAGAAAUUAAGAUUUAGUAAUAAGAAAAUUAAUAACUAAUUUUGUGCCAGCAGUUGCGGUUAAACAAAAGUUAAAUUAAAUUAAUUCAGUAAAUAAUAAAUAAUAAUAUUGUUUUAAAAAAUAUUAAAUUAUAAGGUGAAAUUUUAAUUUAAUUAAAAUUUAUAUAUAAAUUAUGAUUUAAUAAAUUUUAUUAUAAACUAGGAUUAGAUACCCUAUUAUUAAAAAUUUAAUUAUAAAUACUAAAAUAGUAAAUAAUAAAUAUUGAAACUUAAAUAAAAUGGCGGUAUUUUAGUUCAUUUAGAGGAAUCUGUCUAGUAAUUGAUAAUCCACGAAUAAAUUUACUUAAUGUAAAAUUUUGUAUAUCAUUGUUAAAAAAAUAUUUUUUAAUAAAAAUAAUAUUUUAAAAUUUUGAAUAUAAAUUAAUUCAGAUCAAGAUGCAGAUUAUAAUUAAGAUUAAGAUGGAUUACAAUAAAUUUAUUUAAACGGAAAUAAAUUUUUUAAUAUAAAAUUGAAGGUGGAUUUAAAUGUAAUUUUAACUAGUUUGUUAAAAUGAUUAAUAAUUGAAAUAUGUACAUAUUGCCCGUCACUUUCAUUUAAAAAUUGAAAUAAGUCGUAACAAAGUAGAGGUACUGGAAAGUGUUUCUAGAAUGAU
This 775-nucleotide non-coding RNA is filed under the name Heliconius pachinus. Lineage: Eukaryota; Metazoa; Arthropoda; Insecta; Lepidoptera; Nymphalidae. The record is from RNAcentral.